CCCGGCCGUCUCCGAUCUUUACACGCAUUCUUCGUGUUAUCUGAAGACACUCUGACGCCACCACCCAAAGCAACUGGCAGUUGACUCUUGGCAAUUUUAAGCUUGUGUGGAAAGCAGCCGCCGCCCGGUAGCUCCUUUUUAUCUAGAGACACUCAGGAUGUGGGGGACACCCCAGCAAUGCCAUCCCUCCUUUGACCUCCAGAGCGCGCAGAAUUACAAAGUUGAGUAAUACUUUAUUUGAAAAAAUGAAAAGUGCACACACACACACACACACACACACUUACAUAGGCACAGUAUAAUCUGGAAGUAUGACCAGCAAAUGAUAACUGAUUCCCUCAGGGGAGAAGAAACUGGGUGGCUGAAGGACAGGAAUGAGAAAGAAGGACAGUUGCGUUUGUUUGUAUCGUUUGAAAUUGUCCAGUGUGUAUGUGUUCUUUUCAAAUGUUUGAAGAACCAUUGGCUCCCUUAUCAAAAUGUAAAUACCAAGGAAAAUCAGGAAUUUAAGAAGUCUAAGAAUUCUGUAAUGCUGGGUAGAAUUUUCUGUACGUGUAAAACUAAAAUGUCUUUUGUAAAUCACUGAGUCUUCCUGUUUAUUUCUGGUUAGAGAUCUUUGGGGGCUUGGAUGGAGGAACAGGAAAAGAGGAGCCAGGCUUUUUUGGAAAAUUGGCGGCAGCGGUGGCAUACGGGAAACUGAAAUCUUUAUCUAAUCUCAUCCUUUGUAUAUUCGUCUUGGAUUUGCUGAAGAAAAUUAAAAGGUAAAUUUUGCUGUGAGCUCACUGAACUCAAAUUGAAAGGGAACAUAUGCUGUUUAUUUUUGUGAAGGACAUUAAUUGGGUGUGACUGGCAGGGUUGAGACCUGAAGUUCCUCUUUUAGAUAAGGAAAAUUUCCCUUGGUGAGAAAUCUCUAGACUAGUUAUGAUAGAUUCCUAACCCCCAACCUUGAAAGGUAACUUAAGGCUCCCUCCUCUAAGGGAAGGGCUGAAGAAAAAAUUAAACAGGCAACUGUGCCUAUGAAGAUUUGCGAAAAAAAAAAAAAAAAAAAAACAUCUAGGACACUUCUCAUUCACUGGGUCAAGCCAGAGCCAUCAACUUUGUGACCUAGUGAGUGGUUAGUGGAUAUAGGCAAGCGUAGUAACUUGGGACCAGAGGUUAGGGAUCCAGAAAGUUGAAAAUGUAAAGACAAAGGCCAGAGGUUAUAACUUACUGCCUCUUGGUAAGUAGGAAGCCAGAAGUUGAGCUCCCAAAUAAAAUGUUUUAGGAACUGUGGUUCUUAAGUAACUCCAAAAGUAAUGAAACAAUGAGACUGAGGAGUGCCUGGGAUUAGAAAUUCCCAAACGGAGAAAAAAACACAUCACAGAAGAGCCAU
RNAcentral lists this long non-coding RNA (1366 nucleotides) under Homo sapiens (human). Its description in RNAcentral is "HSALNT0386773". Lineage: Eukaryota; Metazoa; Chordata; Mammalia; Primates; Hominidae. The record is from RNAcentral.